AUGUUCGUGUCUUGUUCUUGUUUUUCGGUAUUUUAGGGCUUUUGCGAAUGGAGUGGAGACGUGUGGAGCGUUGGAGGGCUGAUUGGAGGCCGGGCGGCAAAAGAUCUCUGCUGCUCGCACGAUUGUUCAUAUAGAUCUUUUCUCUAGCGGUCAGGCGAUCAGGAAUGGCCAGAUCAUGAGAGAGCUAGCAUUCCACUCGCGAUCCAUCGGCCGAUCAGUCGAUGCUAUACAUCGUCGAGCGCUGUGUUUUUGAUGCACUCAGCUUGACACGGCCGUGCUUGGAAGUCUGGAAAGUUUUCUUUCACGCUCCACUGAUGCUGCUGCUGCAAUGCGUGCUGACUCUCUCUCUCUCUCUUGGUCGUGUCAAGCUGUGUGCAUCACAACGCAUUGCUCGUUUUCAAGAUUUCCUCCUUUCUUCUCCAAAUCUCUAGGCCUAGACGCUCUCCCGCAAGAACAAGCAUCGGUUUCUUCUACAAGUGACGCUCUCGCUCUCUCUCUCUCUUUCUCUCUCGUAGCAACUUUCUCUUCUCUAAGCGUCUCUGGCUCACAGCAUCUCGAUCUUUCUGUGCUUUUCCUUGUACACACCUUGACAGGGAUCAUCGAGUUUGAGAACCAUCUAGCAGUGAAAGGUCAAACACAUACCAUCUCUUAACUUCUCCAGGGAGAGAUCAUCCUCCCAAGAGAGAGGUAGCGAGGUAUAGAUAUUUUUUUUCCUUCUUUCUUUUGUCGACAUGGGGAUGGGGAUGUGGAUCCACUUCCAUCUCUUUUUUCUAUUUUUUCUAUCGUUCGCUCUCGACAGCUUGUGACUCAUCCAGCCUCUCGUGGAACACGUAUGCCAACGAUUCAAUUCCCUUCCCCUUUGCGCUUAAACAACAGUUAGUGGCUGUGUGGUCUCCACACACUACACAAAUCUCAACUUUCACGCGGCGCCGGAGAUUGUUUAAAGCGAAAAAUCAAAGCUUUCUUUCUUUGACAAUGACGAGGACAAAGCUCGCCUCCUUCGACUCACUGUACAAGUUUAUCAAAACUUCGCCAAGUUCGCAAGUUUAGAAGAUAAAAAGAAUAUGUUUUUUUUUGUUUUUUUUUUUUUUUUUUGUGUUGAAAUCGAAACUUAGCUCGAUGUUUGCUGCUGUA
Molecule: long non-coding RNA, 1134 nt
Organism: Selaginella moellendorffii
Lineage: Eukaryota; Viridiplantae; Streptophyta; Lycopodiopsida; Selaginellales; Selaginellaceae
Exons: 3
Source: RefSeq, a predicted model, not a curated record